RNAcentral lists this ribosomal RNA (369 nucleotides) under uncultured organism. RNAcentral's name for it is "bacterial LSU rRNA". It matches the Rfam family "Bacterial large subunit ribosomal RNA", at positions 2099 to 2465 of the family's 2925-position model. The record is from RNAcentral.
CUUUACUGUAUCUUGGCAUUGAAUUUUGAUCUUGUUUGUGUAGGAUAGGUGGGAGACUUUGAGGCUUGGGCGCUAGUUCAGGCGGAGUCGUCGUUGAAAUACCACCCUGACUUAAUCGAAAUUCUAACUCGCACCUGUGAAACCAGGGCGGGAACAUUGUCUGGAAGGCAGUUUGACUGGGGCGGUCGCCUCCAAAAGAGUAACGGAGGCGCUCCAAGGUAUGCUCAGCGCGGUCGGCAAUCGCGCUAAAGAGUGCAUAGGCAUAAGCAUGCUUAACUGCGAGUCACACACGACGAGCAGAUGGGAAACCAGGACUAAGUGAUCCGGUGGCGCCAUGUGGAAGGGCCAUCGCUCAGCGGAUAAAAGCUA